RNAcentral lists this long non-coding RNA (1155 nucleotides) under Homo sapiens (human). Its description in RNAcentral is "long intergenic non-protein coding RNA 929". The record is from RNAcentral. Lineage: Eukaryota; Metazoa; Chordata; Mammalia; Primates; Hominidae.
AGUCCCGGAACACUCUCGGCCCUCUUCAGCCACUCCCUCCCCAACCCACACGCCAUCAACCUCCAGACCCUCUCGCCGUGGCUUAGAGGUGUCUCUGACAACGUGGCACACUGGGAAGGCCUUCUUUCCUGCUACCAAUACAAAUGCAUUCUGAAUUUGAUAUGUCAUUAAAUGUAAAAAUACAGCCAAUUUGAAACAAGCAAAUGGAAAUUCCCAGGAACCAAAAACAGAAAGAAAAAUCAGAGCUACCGCAGUGCUGUCCCUGCAGACAGAAUUUGGGAGAGGUACUCAGAGUCACCUCCUGUGAGCCUAUGCAAGCCAGCUCCUGCACAACCCUGGUUUUAGUCCAGCCUUCUGCAGAAUUCCACAUUAAACAGGAUGAAGAAUAGGUUGUUAGCAGACUGAGGUACUUGGGGCAACAUUUCGUACACAACAGGAGGGAGAAACGACUCCAGAAAAACAAUCAGAUUUUGGUGAAACUGAUGUUUGCAAGUGUGAGUGAGCCCCAUGUGCUGAAGCUUCAGGAACCCCUGAGAUGGCACAAGUUCUGCCGUACUGGGCAACGGAUGGUCUUGAAGCACACAAGACACUGGAAGACAUGAGGGCAAUUGCUACACGCCAAGCCCGGUGCCAAGCACGUUGUGCAGGUUGUUUCGUUGAUUCCGGGCCUGGCCUUUGAGAUCUGUGGAGGAUACCAUGAACUGGCUGGCUCUGCAUCCUGCUUGCAGGCGCUGGCAAGCUGGAACCUGCUUUUCUACGCCACACUGCAGAGGGCCCUGAAUGUGAUCUAUGAUUGCAACAAGCAGCCCUGAUGCGGAUCCGGAGGGCAGGGAUGACGUGGGGGCUGCCUUUCUGGUUGACCUGCUGGUUGUCUUGUGGUAGAGGAGAUUUUGCCUUGCAAUUUUACAUACUUAUGCUACGUGGAAGGCUGGGUGGCGUGACUUCAGGAAAGAGACACACAGAGAGAGAGAGAAAGAGAGAAAGAGAGAACCCACCUACCUGUUUUGCAAAAGUCUCAUGAAUCAUCCCUUCCUGUGGUCCUGCUCCCUGAGAUCCUUUCACCGCUCACAGUGGGCUACUUCUAAGAGCGUGCCUGGCACAGGGUCACUGAGAGCAUAGUCUUAAUAAAACAAUGAUGGAUGCUUGUCUCUCUCA